Molecule: small nuclear RNA, 106 nt
Organism: Bison bison bison
Lineage: Eukaryota; Metazoa; Chordata; Mammalia; Artiodactyla; Bovidae
Source: Ensembl
ACAAGCUUGGGCUUGCUUUGGCAAUACUAAAAAUGGAACAAUAUGGAGAGUAGCAUGGCCCUUGUGCAAGGAUGACAUACAUAUUUCUGAAGUGUUCUGUAUUUUG